Hibiscus syriacus is the source of this 887-nucleotide long non-coding RNA. RefSeq lists it as uncharacterized. The transcript has 3 exons. Lineage: Eukaryota; Viridiplantae; Streptophyta; Magnoliopsida; Malvales; Malvaceae. The record is from RefSeq and is a predicted model, not a curated record.
GGUAAAAAUUAAGCCCUAACCUCAUUUGUAAACAACCCACUGCUGCGCCGUUCUUCACUCUCAGACCCCUCUUAUCUUCUUCCUCGAACGGAGAUGCUCUCCAAGCACAACCAUAAACGGCUGGCUACCCCAACCAUCCUAGAAACAACAGCCACAUUCUCCUAUUCUCUCAACCCCAUCAUCUCUCGGCCUCUCACCACCUAAACCAGAGCCUCCACGGCUGCCACUCACGACGCAGCUCACUCCUAGCCUCCCUCCUUUCCUCUGGCUCAACCGAGAACCACAAAGCUUCAUCCCCGUCGCCUUUUCCCUCUUUAACGCUUGACCCCGGAGUCCAACGUUAGAGCACUCCACAGACGAUGAGGCCAUACACCUAAGAAAUGAAAGAAAUAUCUCUUGUAUUGCUAGGAAAAGUUGGGGGAAAACCCCGAUUACAUCCCUUCGAAUGGAAAAAAACCCUCUUUUACGCUGUAUUUUCUUUGAAUAAGUGGAGUGCAGGGUAUGGGCGAUGAGCUGGGGAGUGGUGCUGCACAUGGAGUGCUGGAAAUGGUGAUGCCUGGAAACCGAGUUGCAUGGGUGUUGGUGAUAGUCCCGAUGGAUUUCUUGUGAGCUGCUCGGGAGGCGUGGGUCUGUUGAAAGUAUGGGCGCUCGUGGGUGUUGUCGGGCGUGCUGGAGCCGAGCUGCACGUGGGAACCGGGUUUUGGCUGCUGGUGGAGGCAUGGACAGAAGCUUGGAAACGAGAGACAAAAACCUAAUGGGUCGAGGGCUUCUUCAAACGGGCUGCAACACUGGGAUGCCAAAUCCCGGGCUUGUAGCUUUAGAUUGAGCCAAUUUGGUCCGUCUUGUUAGGGGUUUAACAUUGAUUCGAGCCUGUAACACCAAAAAAA